UGUUAAAAAAAUUAUUUAUUUAUAUUGUUAAAAAUUAGUGUGAUUGACAGAAUAACUAAAUAGUGACACGUGGCAUACGAUAUGUAUCUCAUGCUGACAUACAAGGACCAAUUGUUAAUAGUAAAAAUGGAUGAAAUUUUUAAUA
Molecule: non-coding RNA, 145 nt
Organism: Gossypium hirsutum (cotton)
Lineage: Eukaryota; Viridiplantae; Streptophyta; Magnoliopsida; Malvales; Malvaceae
Source: Rfam